RNAcentral lists this ribosomal RNA (446 nucleotides) under uncultured bacterium. RNAcentral describes it as "partial 16S ribosomal RNA". It matches the Rfam family "Bacterial small subunit ribosomal RNA", at positions 354 to 796 of the family's 1533-position model. The record is from RNAcentral.
GUGAGGAAUAUUGGUCAAUGGAGGCAACUCUGAACCAGCCAUGCCGCGUGCAGGAAGACGGUCCUAUGGAUUGUAAACUGCUUUUAUUUAGGAAUAAACCCCCGGUCGUGCACCGGGGCUGAAUGUACUAAAAGAAUAAGCACCGGCUAACUCCGUGCCAGCAGCCGCGGUAAUACGGAGGGUGCAAGCGUUAUCCGGAAUCAUUGGGUUUAAAGGGUCCGCAGGCGGGUAAAUAAGUCAGAGGUGAAAUCCGGCAGCUCAACUGUCGCACUGCCUUUGAUACUGUUUAUCUUGAAUUUUAGUGGAGUGGGCGGAAUAUGUCAUGUAGCGGUGAAAUGCUUAGAUAUGACGUGGAACACCGAUAGCGAAGGCAGCUCACUAACUAUGAAUUGACGCUCAUGGACGAAAGCGUGGGUAGCAAACAGGAUUAGAAACCCUAGUAGUCC